This 253-nucleotide ribosomal RNA is filed under the name uncultured Micrococcaceae bacterium. RNAcentral's name for it is "partial 16S ribosomal RNA". It matches the Rfam family "Bacterial small subunit ribosomal RNA", at positions 524 to 776 of the family's 1533-position model. The record is from RNAcentral. Lineage: Bacteria; Bacillati; Actinomycetota; Actinomycetes; Micrococcales; Micrococcaceae.
UACGUAGGGCGCAAGCGUUAUCCGGAUUUAUUGGGCGUAAAGAGCUCGUAGGCGGUUUGUCGCGUCUGCCGUGAAAGUCCGGGGCUUAACCCCGGAUCUGCGGUGGGUACGGGCAGACUAGAGUGAUGUAGGGGAGACUGGAAUUCCUGGUGUAGCGGUGAAAUGCGCAGAUAUCAGGAGGAACACCGAUGGCGAAGGCAGGUCUCUGGGCAUUAACUGACGCUGAGGAGCGAAAGCAUGGGGAGCGAACAGG